AUUGAACGCUGGCGGCAGGCCUAACACAUGCAAGUCGCGCGAGCGGCGGACGGGUGAGUAAUGUCUGGGAAACUGCCUCAUGGAGGGGGAUAACUACUGGAAACGGUAGCUAAUACCGCAUACCAUCAGAUGUGCCCAGAUGGGAUUAGCUAGUAGGGGGGGUAACGGCUCACCUAGGCGACGAUCCCUAGCUGGUCUGAGAGGAUGACCAGCCAAACUGGAACUGAGACACGGUCCAGACGCUUACGGGAGGGAGCAGUGGGGAAUAUUGCACAAUGGGCGCAAGCCUGAUGCAGCCAGGCCGCGGGUGUGAAGAAGGCCUUCGGGUUGUAAAGCACUUUCAGCGGGGAGGCGUUACCCGCAGAAGAAGCACCGGCUAACUCCGUGCCAGCCGCCGCGGUAAUUC
This 406-nucleotide ribosomal RNA is filed under the name uncultured bacterium. RNAcentral describes it as "partial 16S ribosomal RNA". It matches the Rfam family "Bacterial small subunit ribosomal RNA", at positions 29 to 526 of the family's 1533-position model. The record is from RNAcentral.